Long non-coding RNA from Gavialis gangeticus (Gharial), 1871 nucleotides. RefSeq lists it as uncharacterized. NCBI's taxonomy places the organism in Eukaryota, Metazoa, Chordata, Crocodylia, Gavialidae. The transcript has 2 exons. The record is from RefSeq and is a predicted model, not a curated record.
UGGCCUGGUGGGCUGCAUCCAGCCCCCAGGCCACAUUUUGCCCACCCCUGGGUUAUAUGCAUUACUUACCAUGGGAAUCAGACAUGCUAAAGAACACGUACCAAGUACGUAUCCAUGACCAGAAAGAGCUCAAGUCAAAUAUCUAAACAAAAGAGGCCUGUGGUCAACUCUGCAAUCCUUACACCCCCCGUCACAAAGGAGCCACAAGCUUCCCACAUUAUUCAAUCCCAAGUACCCUGGGAGUUUACAAAGGCCCACGUCCAAAGGCCACAUCCAGCUCGCACAUCUUCACCCUCGACCAUUAGUGGUCCGAUUGCCAAUAGGGUAUUGAUCCAACCUAUCCUGUUCCUGCCUUUCAGCCCCAACCAGAGAAGUUCAGGUUAAAAAUAGAACUGAAACUUCAUAUCUCCUGGCCACUCACACCCUUGUGAACAGCUUCAGGGAAUGACAUCAUGGUGAGUCAGGCAAGUUUCAGCAUGUCCAAACAAGCACUGGCAGGUAACUAGGGCUCAGGACAAGUUUGAACUUGAUGCUUAUAAAAGCAAACAAGAUUCCUCCUCCCCUCCAGACACGCAGAACCGAGCCAUACAAGUGCCCGAUCCCCAGGUGCCGAACGCUGUGUACCUCCCACUGAUUUCGACACUAGUGGUAGCUCCUCAGGUGGCUAUCUGGCACAACUAGAUGUUUAGAGACUCGAUGCUUUGUCUUUCCAACACCAUCACAUGACGGCGGAAGCUACCGAGCACUAAGGACACCGAGCUGGAUACUCUUCAGUAUUAGAAUGAGGACAUUUAAGUUUCCUUCCUUUUGUCGGACAAGCCUGCAGCUGACGCACGCAAUCAGCUGGCCCCAAGGAAGCGCACAGACCCAAAUCUGGUGCACUUCUCUUAAGAAAACCAGCCAAGCAUAUGACCAGCUCUGCUCACUAUGAGCACUGGCAGGGAAUAGUCCUGUUCCUACACUUAGCAAGAUUUCAGCAGGACAAGAGGGGCAUGCCCCAUUCAGGUCAAAAGCAAGCCAGCUCGGUGAUCUUCGGCAGUCAUCCCCGCUCCCCCAAUCCUCACCACCCGUCCCUCUGGGCAGCCUCUUCUCUCCCUUGCACCAAGCCGGGAAGGAAGGCAGAGUCCUGGCCCGCGCCAGCAAAGCCCACCGCAGCGAGGAGACCGCAAGGAAGCUUUGCGGCUCAUCCGGCCGUGUCUCCUUAGCCUAGGACACCCUGGUCAUGCAAGCCUGCCACUUCCAGGCAAGGAAUCACUCUGCUGACUGCAUCGCCUGCAUAGGCAACCUGGAAGGUCAAAAACACACAUGAUGGGACAAACGGGACACGAAUAUAUGCGAGUGCUCUGAAGUGCAGACUAUGGAGCACCUGCUGGCUUGCUGACUGCUCGGUGAGACACCUUGGUGUACGAAGGAGGACCUCGCUGCAGCAAUAGAAAGCACCAUCACUUAUGCGUGAUACUGGAAAAAUAUCUAGUUUAUGACAAGGAUGCAAGAAGAUGAACUCUUCUGACUUCUGUGCUCGUGUAAAUUUGACACUUAACUACUGGAUUAUGUCCAGGCAGGAGUCAGAAUAAGAUCGCCUCAUGCAAAGAAUGACGGCAGCCAAAAUUGCUCUAAGACCGGAUCCAGAGCUAACACCAAUGGAAAUAGUGCCAUUGACUUCUAAGUGAUUUAAGGGCUGAGGACCCUGUGAGGACACCUGCCUUGUCAGCACCUAUUUAAUAAAAUAGCUGUACAAAGCACAAAGGUACAUUUUCCCCCAAAGUUUUCUUAAUUCUUUAUUUGCCUGGAACUGACAUGGAUUCAGACUGGUUCUAAAGCAGGCAUAUUUGUUUCAACAGCAGUAAUCAAAUAAACCUAAUACCUAGUAA